Molecule: ribosomal RNA, 492 nt
Filed under: uncultured bacterium
Lineage: Bacteria
Description: partial 16S ribosomal RNA
Rfam family: Bacterial small subunit ribosomal RNA
Source: RNAcentral
AGUGAACGCUGGCGGUAUGCCUAACACAUGCAAGUCGAACGACAGCACAGUAAGAUUUUGCUCUUACGGUUGGCGAGUGGCGGACGGGUGAGGCAUACAUAGGCAACUACUUUUUCGUGGGUGAUAACGGAGGGAAGCUUACACUAAUACCUCAUACGACCUACGGGUUAAAUCAGUAGAUCUUGGGACUUUGCGCGACUGAAUUAGACGAUGUCGCAUUAGCUAGUUGGCGAGGUAAAGGCCCACCAAGGCGACGAUCCGUAGCUGAUCUGAGAGGAUGAUCAGCCACACUGGAACUGAGACACGGUCCAGACUCCUACGGGAGGCAGCAGUAGGGAAUAUUGGGCAAUGGGCGAAAGCCUGACCCAGCAAUACCGCGUGAGUGAUGAAGGCCUUCGGGUUGUAAAGCCCUGUUGUUGGGAAAGAAAAGAAGCGGAUGAAACCAUCGACGUUUUGACGGUACCUAAACAGUAAGCCCCGGCUAACUUCGUG